CGUUCUAUUUGGGACUCGAACUCAAUACUUUUCGCUUCAAACGCAAUCAUGUUAUCCAUUUGGCCACUG
Molecule: transfer RNA, 69 nt
Filed under: Schistosoma mansoni
Lineage: Eukaryota; Metazoa; Platyhelminthes; Trematoda; Strigeidida; Schistosomatidae
Source: RNAcentral